Molecule: RNase P RNA, 414 nt
Filed under: Verticiella sediminum
Lineage: Bacteria; Pseudomonadati; Pseudomonadota; Betaproteobacteria; Burkholderiales; Alcaligenaceae
Description: Bacterial RNase P class A
Rfam family: Bacterial RNase P class A
About the family: Ribonuclease P (RNase P) is a ubiquitous endoribonuclease, found in archaea, bacteria and eukarya as well as chloroplasts and mitochondria. Its best characterised activity is the generation of mature 5'-ends of tRNAs by cleaving the 5'-leader elements of precursor-tRNAs. Cellular RNase Ps are ribonucleoproteins.
Source: Rfam by way of RNAcentral
AGAGCGGGCCAGGCAAUCGCGGAGCGCAAGCUUCGAGGAAGGUCCGGACUCCACAGGGCAGGGUGACGGCUAACGGCCGUCCGGAUAUAAACGCCGGUUCGCCGGCGGGAAACCGAGGAACAGGGCCACAGAGACGAGUCUGCCAGGCGGGCGGCACGCAAGUGCCGCACCCGUACGGCCAUCUCCGUACGGCGCCGCGCGAAGCGCGGCGGCAUGGCAGGGUGAAACGCGGUAACCUCCACCCGGAGCAACAUCAAAUAGGCAUGCGCACGGCUUCGUGCCGGAAAGGGCGGCCCGCCCGAGCAUGCGGGUAGAUGGCCAGAGCCCGUCAGCAAUGGCGGGCCCAGAUGAAUGAUUGCCGGUGCGCGCUUCGGCGCGCAUCUACAGAAUCCGGCCUAUCGGCGCGCUCUGCAC